Delphinapterus leucas (beluga whale) is the source of this 2909-nucleotide non-coding RNA. NCBI's taxonomy places the organism in Eukaryota, Metazoa, Chordata, Mammalia, Artiodactyla, Monodontidae. The record is from RefSeq and is a predicted model, not a curated record.
GCAGUUGCUGUGGUUUCCGUGUUGAGGUGGCUUAGUUUUUAUGGGAGCGGAAGUUCACGGACGCUGCGUCGCGUGUCCAAGUCCAGCUGUCUGUGGCUACCGAUCGAGAGGUCAGGAGCGCAGCGUCCUUUCUUCGGACUAGGGCCAGCCCCCUGUUUUCCCUUCGCCACUUGGUGCCAAUAUUUAGGUCGUCUUCGGCGCGGCUGAGGGGAAGGCCGCGGGCGAGAUGUUCAAGAACACGUUCCAGAGCGGCUUCCUUUCUAUCCUCUACAGCAUUGGCAGCAAGCCCCUGCAAAUCUGGGACAAAAAGGUACGGAAUGGCCACAUCAAAAGAAUCACCGAUAAUGACAUCCAGUCCCUGGUGCUAGAGAUUGAAGGAACAAAUGUCAGCACCACAUAUAUCACAUGUCCUGCAGACCCAAAGAAAACAUUGGGAAUUAAACUUCCCUUCCUUGUCAUGAUUAUCAAAAACCUGAAGAAAUAUUUUACCUUUGAAGUACAGGUACUAGAUGACAAGAAUGUGCGUCGGCGGUUUCGGGCAAGUAACUACCAGAGCACCACCAGGGUCAAACCCUUCAUCUGUACCAUGCCCAUGCGGCUGGAUGACGGCUGGAACCAGAUUCAGUUCAACCUGUCAGACUUCACUCGGCGGGCAUAUGGCACAAAUUACAUUGAGACCCUCAGGGUGCAGAUCCAUGCAAACUGUCGCAUCCGACGGGUUUACUUCUCAGACAGACUCUACUCAGAAGACGAACUGCCAGCAGAGUUCAAACUGUAUCUCCCAGUUCAGAAUAAGGCAAAGCAAUAACUGGAAUGCCACUCAAGGGAUAGACCCUGGAUGUGACUCUUAGUUUAAAAAGGAAACUAUCUGGAGGACAAUGCAAAAAACAAAUAUUUAUAUUAGUUCACUGUGCUGCGGUUCUUUUACCUACUCCUUGGCGUCCCUGGUUGUGGCUACCAGUGACCGUGCCGUGCAUUGAUGAGGCUGGAAUUGUGGGCACUGGCUGUUUUGACUUUGACUAGAGGUAAAAACACAGUGCUGAAUUCGUCAUUACUGUUGCUGCCUCCUGAGAAGUUAAGUGACAAGGAGCACUGUUCUCCCGCAUCCUUAUCCUCCAGAGUGUGCUCUGGUCAUCAGGACCUGGCACUUAGGUGGGUUCAGUCAAGACGACUUUGCCUUCCUCUUCCUGCUAACAGCUGCACUGGAGCCGCCUUCGCCGUGGAUGCUGCCCCUCUCCUUGGAGAGUCACCAUCGUUCAGCAUCGCAGAGCACCCAUCAGCCCAGGUGACAGCCUGUUCUCUCAGGGCCAACUCCAGUCACAUCUGAAUAUUGGCCCGCUUCUCCAUCCUGAAACACGUUAGCAUUCCUGUUGUUAGACUCCGUGUGUCUGUCUCCCAAGCUUUCUGGGUUACAGAGGGGUCCUCAGAAAUGGGUGGGGCUGGGUGGUCAGGGACUUCAACAGAGCUUCUUGUCUCUGGCCACUGUGUGGUGAAAUCUUCCCUCCAAUCUGGAGUCUGUUGUGGGAUGAAAGAUGCUUUUGUGGAGGCGAGAAAGCCCGGUUAACUUUUCAUCUCUCUCCGGUGCCAGGACAUCAGUGGAGUGCUCCUGGAAGUCCAGAGAAAUACAGUAAUGCACUCUCCUCCACACAGAGCCCCUUUCACCCCGCGGCACUUGUCAGACUAUGUAUGGGGAUUACCUCACCACCCUCUUUGGGGUAUAAGGCGGCAGCUGUUGACUUCCCAGAUGCUUCACAUAUCCAUCCGAGAGGAAGUGAGGGGGCGUUGAGGGUGAUGGGAUGUAUUAUCUAAGCUGGACCCAGGCCAAUGUGAAUUGUGGCACCAACGACUGCAUGGCCCCUGCCCUCAGCUUUCCAGCUCACCAGGAAGAUGACGACGACUAAUUAUGAGGCCAAGGGAAGGAGGAAGGAAAGGUCAGGCUGCAGGGGCUGGAGCCCUCCUCCUUCAUGGGGCUGGAGCCAGAGUGACCUUAGACUGAGGAAAUUGCAGCAGGCAGAGUUGCGUUACCCGGCUCCUCUGAAGUCACGGUGUGUUGCAGGAGGCGUUGUCUUCCAAAUGAGAGUGUUCGUUAAUUGGCAUGAACUUGAGGGGACAGGCAUGCAGUCAUUCUCAGUAGGGCCCAUCUUGGGGGAGAGCAGAUCCACUGUGGCCCUUAUUUGCUACCAGCACGUUGAUUGCUUUGCCUGCAACCAAGCCAAUAAUACUGAUCGUGCCAGUCCAGCCCCCUCCCGGGGCAUUUCUUAAGGAGGCAAGUAUGCCAGAGAACAACCCCCAAGCUGAUUUCCCUAGAUCCUUGGCAGCUUUAGCCAAAAGCCUCAAGUGUCAGGAGCCCUUCUUGUCUGAGCCCUCCCUUCUUCCAUUUUACUGAUGAGGACACUAUAGCCCAGAGAGGCUCGGGCCGGCUCCUGUCAGAGUGGCAGGAGUAGAACACAGGUGAGGAUCACCUGAUGGGAGUCAUAUGCCAUCCCUGUCCUCCCUUGUGCUGACGUCUCCCUGCUUCCUAUGUGGUGGCUGUAUCCUUUUUGUAGAGGCAUUGACGGGUCAGAUAAUGUCUGCCUGGAGGCUGGGCCAGGCCAGACUUGGCUGCUCAGGAGGACUAGACUCAGCUCUGCCUCUGCAGCGAGGGCUUGCCUGGUUUGUCCCGUCGUGGUUGCACAUUAGCUGAACUUCAGGGCCUGAGGCUGAAGAUAGAAAGCUGUGGGGCGAAGAUUUGUGUUUAACUAAUGUAUCAUAAAAGUAACAUAGGCUCAUGGGAAAUUCAAACUGUUCCCAUUCCUGAACUGAAAGUAUUUGAAUGGGCCAGGCCAAGUUUGUUUUGUUUUUUAAUUUAUUUUUAUAUAGCAGGUUCUUGUUAGUCAUCCAUUUUAUACACAUCAGUGUAUACAUGUCAA